Molecule: long non-coding RNA, 397 nt
Filed under: Hordeum vulgare
Lineage: Eukaryota; Viridiplantae; Streptophyta; Magnoliopsida; Poales; Poaceae
Description: long non-coding RNA (HVUL_LNC013553)
Source: RNAcentral
AUGUGCACAAUGUGAGCCUGAUCAAAGGCUACUGGGCUAGCCCACUAACCUGCUCCCUGAGGCGAGCCGAGCUACUGUAUCUCUAUGAGCGAGAUAUAACCACAAGGUAGUCACGACACCGUUCAAUGGACCAUUUUUAGAUUUUUCUUAAAACAUAUAUUCCUUUUAGAGUCGUGGUCCUUAAGAAAAAAAAACAAGUGUUUUUUUUAUAACAAAAAAAACAAGUGUUGCGACCACUUGAAGCCAUUUUUUCGAGAAAAUUUAAACAUUGGAUAUGAUUGAAAUUGCUGAAUAUAGUAAAAAAAUGUUUACAAAUUUUAAAAAAACAUGAGCUCUCGAAAAAGGCAUGUGGCCAACUUUAUAAUUACUAGUACAAAUGCCCGUGCGUUGCACCGGG